Molecule: ribosomal RNA, 507 nt
Filed under: uncultured Sphingomonas sp.
Lineage: Bacteria; Pseudomonadati; Pseudomonadota; Alphaproteobacteria; Sphingomonadales; Sphingomonadaceae
Description: bacterial SSU rRNA
Rfam family: Bacterial small subunit ribosomal RNA
Source: RNAcentral
UCUUAGUGGCGCACGGGUGCGUAACGCGUGGGAAUCUGCCUCUUGGUUCGGAAUAACAGUUGGAAACGACUGCUAAUACCGGAUAAUGACGUAAGUCCAAAGAUUUAUCGCCGAGGGAUGAGCCCGCGUAGGAUUAGGUAGUUGGUGUGGUAAAGGCGCACCAAGCCGACGAUCCUUAGCUGGUCUGAGAGGAUGAUCAGCCACACUGGGACUGAGACACGGCCCAGACUCCUACGGGAGGCAGCAGUGGGGAAUAUUGGACAGUGGGCGAAAGCCUGAUCCAGCAAUGCCGCGUGAGUGAUGAAGGCCUUAGGGUUGUAAAGCUCUUUUACCCGGGAUGAUAAUGACAGUACCGGGAGAAUAAGCUCCGGCUAACUCCGUGCCAGCAGCCGCGGUAAUACGGAGGGAGCUAGCGUUAUUCGGAAUUACUGGGCGUAAAGCGCACGUAGGCGGCUUUGUAAGUAAGAGGUGAAGGCCCAGAGCUCAACUCUGGAAUUGCCUUUUAGA